AGCGAACGCUGGCGGCAGGCUUAACACAUGCAAGUCGAGCGGGCCCUUCGGGGUCAGCGGCAGACGGGUGAGUAACACGUGGGAACGUACCCUUUGGUUCGGAAUAACGCUGGGAAACUAGCGCUAAUACCGGAUACGCCCUUUUGGGGAAAGGCUUGCUGCCGAAGGAUCGGCCCGCGUCUGAUUAGCUAGUUGGUGGGGUAAUGGCCUACCAAGGCGACGAUCAGUAGCUGGUCUGAGAGGAUGAGCAGCCACACUGGGACUGAGACACGGGCCAGACUCCUACGGGAGGCAGGAGUGGGGAAUAUUGGACAAUGGGCGCAAGCCUGAUCCAGCCAUGCCGCGUGAGUGAUGAAGGCCUUAGGGUUGUAAAGCUCUUUUGUCCGGGACGAUAAUGACGGUACCGGAAGAAUAAGCCCCGGCUAACUUCGUG
Molecule: ribosomal RNA, 433 nt
Filed under: uncultured bacterium
Lineage: Bacteria
Description: partial 16S ribosomal RNA
Rfam family: Bacterial small subunit ribosomal RNA
Source: RNAcentral